CCCUAGUAACGGCGAGUGAAGUGGGAAAAGCUCAACUUUGUAAUCUGGCUGUCUUUGGCAGUCCGAGUUGUAGUCUAGAGAAGUGUUAUCCGCGCAGCCCCUAAUAGAUUUCGGUUGGAAUGCCAAGUCAAAGAGGGUGAGAAUCCCGUAUUUGAUAGUGGGCUUGUGCAUUGUGAUACAUUUUCAAAGAGUCGAGUUGUUUGGGAAUGCAGCUCAAAGGGGUGGUAAAUUCCAUCUAGCUAAAUAUUGGCGAGAGACCGAUAGCGAACAAGUACCGUGAGGGAAGAUGAAAGCACUUUGGAAGAGAAUGARAUAGUACAUGAAAUUGCUGAAAGGGAAACGAGUGAAGUUAGACUUGCGCGGUUGGUAUUCAGCCUUGGCUUCGGUCUUGGUGCAUUUGCCAAUCAUUGCAGGCCAGCAUCAGUUUACUAUGCUGUAAAAGGGUGGAGGAACGUGGCUCUUCGGGAGUGUUAUAGCCUCCUUCUGGAUGCAGAACGUAGACGAGGAACGCAGCGCGCCAUUAUGGCAAGCUUUAAGCUCGAGCGCUAAGGA
RNAcentral lists this ribosomal RNA (552 nucleotides) under Bensingtonia sp. BC-B0-18. RNAcentral's name for it is "eukaryotic LSU rRNA". It matches the Rfam family "Eukaryotic large subunit ribosomal RNA", at positions 78 to 632 of the family's 3401-position model. The record is from RNAcentral. Lineage: Eukaryota; Fungi; Basidiomycota; Agaricostilbomycetes; Agaricostilbales; Kondoaceae.